Molecule: non-coding RNA, 251 nt
Organism: Pelobates cultripes (western spadefoot toad)
Lineage: Eukaryota; Metazoa; Chordata; Amphibia; Anura; Pelobatidae
Source: the annotation of a GenBank genome assembly
UAGCAGUUCAAGAUUAGCUGGGGGAUGUGUGAGAAUCAUUUGAAGAAUUCUCAUUAUCUCUUGAGCCUCCUUUGAGACAAAGGAGGGAUUGAAGUUGCACUUAACUUUUAGCGCUGGGGCCAGAGCAGGUGUAUCAAAUUCGAGAUUCCAAUAGAGGCAUAGUUCUUGAUCAAGCUCAGUCUCUUCCUACUCUAGCCAUUUUAAUUAUUGGAGGAAAAUAUACAGGUGCUUUGGGUAACAUAUCGUUAUCU